Apteryx owenii (little spotted kiwi) is the source of this 1793-nucleotide long non-coding RNA. Lineage: Eukaryota; Metazoa; Chordata; Aves; Apterygiformes; Apterygidae. The record is from Ensembl.
AGCAAGCGAGGCCGCAGUUGUACGCGUGGGAUGAAAGGUCAGUGCGGCCUUUUGAUUUGUGCCCUGCAGUAGCACAGCUACACGUGGGCUGCCAAGCAAACGCCUCUUCCGUCUGCGUGCACUUAGUGGUCACAUCUGUGAACACCACCAGAUCGUCCAAUUACUUGGGGUCCUUUAACCCCCCUCCUGUUGGCAAAAUAGGGCUAUGAAAAAGCAUGCAUAAGCAGAUGGUCAGCAUGCAGGCAGGCUCCCUAAUAAGAUGAACCAGGUCAUAACAUAGAUUUGAAUUCACUUUAUUCUCAUUGCAAAUAAUUUUAUCACAAAAUAAAAAGCUAAGGAUUUUUUUUUUCUUCUGUUGCCAGUGUCCUUUUUGUGUUCUGUUGCCUCUGUCCUUUUUAUUUACUACUAGCCACCUGUUGAAUUAAGGAGAUUGUAAAGUUUAUCAGAGCAACAAUAUAUAUAAAAAGAAAUGUGUAAGCAUGUGUGCAGCAAUAAAAAGCUAUAUAUUUCACUAUAUCUAUUUCUACUGUGGCCUGUUUAUUAGCAACUGACAUCAGUGUGGCUUUAUUUCUGGAAGGACUUGGUGGGUUCCUUCAGUUUGUUUUCCUGCACCCAAGCAGAUGGCUGGCUCUGCAUCGUCCUGCUUCAAGCAGCAAGGAAAACAUGACUACUCUGCUCCUUUGGUGGCCCAUUUGGGAGUAGAGCACUGCGUUGUUUUUAUCGAAUACUUUCUCCCAGGAAUGUUUUGUUUCAUUAGCAGCACCAUGGCACAGCCUUGAUCAAUAUGGUGAUGGUGUGUCAGAUGAUUUUUAUCUUGGAAAAAAUUGCUCUGGGCAGUCCCCAGCAGGUGAGUUGUCCAUCCUUCUCGUCACCCCGUGCCAGAAUUGUCUGUGGUUCUGUGAUUACUGACUAGUUUAUUCUGUUUGUUAAAUCCAAGGGUGGAGGUUGCUUAGCCUCCAUGGAAAGCACUUCCGACGCUUACCUACGCAUUCGUGGAGCCACUGAAGCACGUUUCCACCAAAAACUCAAGUCCAUUGAAGAGUCUGGGCAGUCCUUCGUCUCCUCUCUGAAAACAUGGAAGCUUAUUCUGUCUUCUGCCGUCUUCCUCCCGCUUCUGUGCUGGUCAGGGUCAUGCCGAUACCAUUCGUGCAAGGAUGUGACAGUGACGAAUCGCACGAGCAAGGUGGUGGCGUGACCUGCUCUAGAGGGAAGGCGAGGAAAUGUGUCAGAGUUCCCAGUCCUUGAGAUACGCGUCAGGAGGUGAAGGCUGAUCCUUCAUAUCAAGGCUAAGAUGACAUUAUCUCUCCCUUCUGGCUCACAAGGUUUUAUACUAACGCAUUCUUGGCACGGCACAGCAGAACCACCAAUACUUCUAUGAAUUUUAUUAAGCUUGCCUCCAUAACGGGAGCCAGCAAUGGGCUCUCUCAAACUCCUCCUUCCCCCCACCCCGGGAUGUAAAACUGAAUUGUUAUCCAGGAGUUUUAAAGCAACUUUGUUGGUGGCAAGUUCAAUCUCCUGUUCCCUUCCGGAUAAGGACCUGGAGUUGUUUGUAGCUGCGUGGGACUCUCCUGCUGUGAAGUUUCAGGGUUAAUUUUGCUGGCCUUAGGAAAGCUUUGCUGGUUUUUGAAUGAAAACCAUUGCAUGUUUGUCAUCUAAAUGAAGAUGUGACCCUGGAAUGAAGGUUGCUGUCCUUGGAAAGCUGGAAAGCCCUGGCUUUUCCUGGGGCUCUGGCUCAUGGCUGUAGUCCAGCAGAGGUUUGCUCGCCCAUGUUCAUGGCCCCUUCUUCAACAGGG